Molecule: ribosomal RNA, 496 nt
Filed under: uncultured bacterium
Lineage: Bacteria
Description: partial 16S ribosomal RNA
Rfam family: Bacterial small subunit ribosomal RNA
Source: RNAcentral
AUGAACGCUGGCGGCGUGCCUAAUACCUGCAAGUCGAGCGAACGGACGAGAAGCUUGCUUCUCUGAUGUUAGCGGCGGACGGGUGAGUAACACGUGGAUAACCUACCUAUAAGACUGGGAUAACUUCGGGAAACCGGAGCUAAUACCGGAUAAUAUUUUGAACCGCAUGGUUCAAAAGUGAAAGACGGUCUUGCUGUCACUUAUAGAUGGAUCCGCGCUGCAUUAGCUAGUUGGUAAGGUAACGGCUUACCAAGGCAACGAUGCAUAGCCGACCUGAGAGGGUGAUCGGCCACACUGGAACGGAGACACGGUCCAGACUCCUACGGGGGGCAGCAGUAGGGAAUCUUCCGCAAUGGGCGAAAGCCUGACGGAGCAACGCCGCGUGAGUGAUAAAGGUCUUCGGAUCGUAAAACUCUGUUAUUAGGGAAGAACAUAUGUGUAAGUAACUGUGCACAUCUUGACGGUACCUAAUCAGAAAGCCACGGCUAACUACGUG